UUAAGGGUAAGCUAAAAGAAGCUGUUGGGUUCAUACCUCAAAAAUGUAAAUCUCCUUAGG
RNAcentral lists this transfer RNA (60 nucleotides) under Centruroides vittatus. RNAcentral's name for it is "tRNA-Met". The record is from RNAcentral. Lineage: Eukaryota; Metazoa; Arthropoda; Arachnida; Scorpiones; Buthidae.